Molecule: non-coding RNA, 146 nt
Organism: Gossypium hirsutum (cotton)
Lineage: Eukaryota; Viridiplantae; Streptophyta; Magnoliopsida; Malvales; Malvaceae
Source: Rfam
UGUUAAAAAUUUGUUCAUUUUUAUUGUUAAAAAUUGGUGCAACUAAGAGAAUAACCAAACAAUUACACAUAACGUGCCAUGUGUACUUCAUUCUUGACAUACAAGAAUCAAUUUUUAACAAUAGAAAUGAAUAAAAAUUUUUAACA